UUGAAUUGUCAAAGAAGAAGACGGCUUUGAUUCUUUUUUUCUGUGACAAUGAACAUCUUACUCUUGGUUGCAGUUACAAUCUUCUCUAAUUUCUCCGUCUGUGUUAAAAUUCUCCAGCCUCAGUUUGUAUUCAGCCAUGACAAAGACAAAAGUGUGACGCUGCAGUGUGAACUAGAUGAUAAUCAAUAUUACUACAUGUUCUGGUAUAGACAGAGAAACAGUGGGGAAUUAAAUCAGGUGGCAAGUUCUCCUGGAAAAGAUUCAUCGAACAUUGAGGCUCCUUUCAAAGAAGACAAGUACACCAUGUCAAGGCCGACACUGCUCAGCUCCUCUCUGCAGAUACACCCUGUUGAGGCUGGAGACUCAGCUGUGUAUUACUGCGCCUCUAGAAUAGCACAGCGGUUCAGAGAGCCUCAGCAGCUGAACAACAACCUCAGAAACACACCAAGAAGAGACCAGGUGGGGGGGCGACGAAAAGAGGCUAGAAAUUAAUUGGUUCUAGUUUCUCAGUUGUGAUUAGAAAUAAAUGAUGUCCCUCCUUUUAGGAUUUAUAACAGACACUUUAUAUUAUAUUCUAACAUUUGAGGCAGCAGUGGCUCAGGAGGUGAAUUGUGUUGUCCACUAAUUGGACUGUCAUUGGUUCAGUUCAGUUAACAUUUCAGAAGUGAAACAAUUUACAGAUUAACCGAGAAAAUAUCCUCUGCUUUUUGCUGUGAUAGUGAAGAUAACCCUUUAGUUUAUUAAACAAGCAAGUUUCCAUUAAUCCUGCAGAAUGUACAAGAGCUGCUGCUCCACGCUUCAGUGAUACACACCACAGAGCGGAUCAAUUCAGAUUAGUGAGCAGGUGAAAAUACGGUGGAGGUUGAUUUCAGUGCAUUUCACCCUGAACAGGAUCAGGUUUAAGUGGAGAUCAAACACUGACCUCUACAGGGUUCACGUGAGACUACAUGUGGGUGAGGUAGUAAAUAUAAUGUACUCUAUUGUGAAAUACUGCAAAAUCAUUUAAUGAACCAGCUGUGAAAUUGUGUGGAUAUGUUGAAUCUGUACAAAUAUUUGCCAUAGAAAAAGGGGACCGACUCAUUUGACAAAAGAAAAGUAAUGACCUGUUGAAGAUAGUUAGAAGAUAUGUUGUUUAGAUGCUGCUAUAGAUAUGAUUUAACUUGUAAAGAAAUGAAAGUUAUGGAAGUUAAGUUAGACAUUAUCAGUAGUGUUGUACUUCAUCAAGAUAUUCUGAUUUAUUUCUAUAAAUAAAAAGGUGUUAUGUCAACUGAGCCGUCAUUAUAUAGAAUAAUACAUUGAAAGCCAAAAGUUGAAAACUGCACUUAAAGACAUAGAAGUGCUUCAUAGAGCUGAAGGCGACCGGAUUGGCUUUUACUAGUUUCUAAAUUUCAAGCUCGACAUUAGAAGACAAACGAGUAAUUUGAGGCUCAUCUGUAUCAGUCACAUCAGUGAAUGUUCUUUCGUAUUUAUACGUCUCUUCUCAGAUAAAUGGGUGGAUAAGGAGGUGUGACCAUGUAUGAUGUCACUUCCUUUGAGAGGCUAAAAUAAACACAACAGACAAAACAGUUCCCUCAGAAAUCGCUUCUUUUCUUAGCCGACACAGAAAUAGCAGCAGUCAGACUCUUUGCCGUUCAGCUGUCAGUGAGUUCAACCUGUACAGCUGCUCUCAGAGAGAAGGAGCAUGAGAUAUGGAGACGCUGGGUGGGGGUGGGAAACAGUGAAGAAAAACGACAUUAUGUUUUUGUGUAGUGUUUUCUCACAGUGGGGACAGGGGGCCACGGUGAUACAUUCCCAUAGAGCCGCCGCACAAAAACCUCCUCCCAUUGACACCCAUUGUGUAGAUGGCUGUUUGUAACCUGGGGCUCUCGAUGGAGGAGAAAACAUCAACACUCUGAAGGAGACAGUCAGUGUGACACUGGAAGUGAAGCCUACUUUGGAAAAGGAACAAAACUGACUGUUCUGG
Molecule: long non-coding RNA, 1963 nt
Organism: Platichthys flesus (European flounder)
Lineage: Eukaryota; Metazoa; Chordata; Actinopteri; Pleuronectiformes; Pleuronectidae
Exons: 3
Source: RefSeq, a predicted model, not a curated record